CUCCGGUCGCUCGACGUGCUCUCGCGUAGUUCCGCCUUUCUUAAGUCCCCCCGCCUCGCAAGAUGGCUGCGGUGCCGCCGGGCCCGGAGCCGUGGAACCGUGUGAGAAUCCCUAAGGCGGGGAACCGCAGCGCAGUGACAGUGCAGAACCCCGGCGCGGCCCUUGACCUUUGCAUUGCAGCUGUAAUUAAAGAAUGCCAUCUCGUCAUACUGUCGCUGAAGAGCCAAACCUUAGAUGCAGAAACAGAUGUGUUAUGUGCAGUCCUUUACAGCAAUCACAACAGAAUGGGCCGCCACAAACCCCAUUUGGCCCUCAAACAGGUUGAGCAAUGUUUAAAGCGUUUGAAAAACAUGAAUUUGGAGGGCUCAAUUCAAGACCUGUUUGAGUUGUUUUCUUCCAAUGAAAAUCAGCCCUUAACUACCAAAGUAUGUGUUGUCCCCAGUCAGCCAGUGGUGGAGUUGGUGUUGAUGAAGGUUUUGGGAGCCUGCAAGUUGUUGCUCCGCUUGUUGGACUGCUGCUGCAAAACUUUUCUGUAUCCUUGAAUAUCUUGAAAUAUACCUUCUUUUGAAUUGGAAUUGUUUGGAUAUUUUUAACAGUAUUUUUGUUUGAAAGCUAACACUCCAUAGGAGUUACAACCUACAGGAAUUCUUAAACUUUUGCUUCUUGGCCUCUUUUUCUCAGGUAUUGCCUGAUGCAGCCAUUGCCAGAGACUGCCUGUCACUGUUCAGCACGUAUUAUCCUAAGAGCAUUGAUAGCUAGAAAUUCUUAAUCUUAGAAACUAAACUUUAAGAACUAAAUUUAAUAACGGGAACUCUAGCAGAGUGUUUAUAACCAUAUUUUAAAGUUUCAAAUUCUUAAAUAGAACGUGUUUUAAGGCUUUAAUACCUUUAAGAAAAUUCUCUUUACUUCCAAUAUAUUUCUUCAUUCAUGAUUGUAACUUACAAAACCCACAUUACUUUGAUUUUGUUUUCUACCUUAAAUUGAUUUUCCAGUUUGACUGUGAAACAUCUAGGUUUGCAAGAGUUCAUUAUUUUAAACCUUGUGAUGGUUGGGCUGGUGAGCAGGUUAUGGGUUCUCUAUAAAGGUGUCUUAAAAAGGUUGAUUUUGUUAUAUGAGUCUUUGUUUGGAUUGCUUCAAGAGGUCGCUAGGAUUCAACCAAUGCCUUACUUCAAAGAUUUUACCUUUCCUUCUGAUAUCACUGAAUUUUUAGGACAGCCAUAUUUUGAAGCCUUUAAGAAAAAAAUGCCUACAGCUUUUGCAGCUAAAGGAAUAAAUAAAUUGCUAAAUAAACUGUUUUUAAUAAAUGAGCAGUCACCAAGAGCCAGUGAAGAAACCUUACUUGGAAUUUCAAAAAAAGCUAAACAAAUGAAGAUCAAUGUACAGAAUAACGUGGAUCUUGGACAGCCAGUAAAGAAUAAGAGAGUCUUCAAAGAAAAGUCAUCAGAAUUUGAUGUGAGGGCUUUCUGCAACCAGCUGAAACACAAAGCUACUCAGGAGACCAGUUUUGAUUUUAAAUAUUCUCAAUCCAGACUAAAGACAACCAAGUAUUCUUCUCAGAAAGUGAUAGGAACUCCUCAUGCCAAAAGUUUUGUGCAAAGAUUCCGAGAGGCUGAGUCCUUCACACAACUUUCUGAAGAAAUCCAGAUGGCAGUUGUAUGGUGCAGGAGCAAAAAACUCAAGGCUCAGGCCAUUUUUCUGGGUAACAAACUUCUUAAAAGCAACCGGCUUAAACAUCUGGAAGCUCAAGGUACUAGUUUGCCAAAGAAACUAGAGUGCAUAAAAACGUCUAUUUGCAACCACCUUCUUCGUGGCUCAGGUAUCAAAACUUCAAAGCAUCAUCUGAGACAGAGAAGAUCACAGAAUAAAUUUUUACGGAGACAGAGGAAACCACAGAGAAAGUUGCAGUCGACUCUUUUAAGGGAAAUUCAGCAGUUCUCUCAAGGGACUUGGAAGAGUGCUACAGAUACCAGUGCUAAGUGGAGACUCUCACACUGUACUGUGCAUAGAACUGAUCUCUACCCUAACAGUAAGCAGCUCUUGAAUAGUGGAGUUUCAAUGCCUGUCAUACAAACUAAGGAGAAAAUGAUUCAUGAAAAUCUUAGAGGCAUCCAUGAAAAUGAAACUGAUUCGUGGACGGUGAUGCAAAUAAAUAAAAACAGUACAUCAGGAACCAUUAAGGAGACAGAUGACAUUGAUGAUAUUUUUGCUUUAAUGGGAGUUUAGAUCUUCGUUCAUAUGUGAGACUUUUAAGUGAUUAACAAGGCUAGUUCAGUGUUCUAAGUAGAACUGCUAAGAUCUGGAAGUACCACCUGGACUCACAGAGGAGCUGCUUUAGUGCAGCAUUGCACAGGAGUUCAUUUCAGUUCAGUCUACAUUUAAAGUAGCAUUGUGUCAUUUCAUCAACAAGUAUUUUUUUUUGGCUUCAACUACAUGUCAGGUGUUAAUAUGAAAAAUCUGCCACAGCCUACCCUUGAGAAGCAGAUGUAAUUCCUUGAGUGAGGCUAGUAAGUGUCUGAAAAACUGAAUAAUUUUAUGACUUACUAGGCAAUUUAAUAAUCGUUUGCAAAAACCAUUGUGUCUUGAGGUAAAUGAGUAAGGAGGGUGGGGGAUAGCAAGGAAACACCUGAAAGGUCAAUUUGGUCUUAUUGGCUCCAUUAUACAUAGGUCCGCCUCUGAAUACUAAAGUUUGUAGCUCCUGACAGUUAUGUUUUCUUGUUUAUAUGCUGGAAUUGAUCAACAAGGUUUGCCACUGCUUGUAUUACCAGGGACUGGUUACAACCAUUAUUUCUCUUCAUUUGCUCGGCUUAUCUCAUAUUAAAGUGAGUUUGGAGUUCUCCAAAA
RNAcentral lists this small RNA (2841 nucleotides) under Pan troglodytes (chimpanzee). RNAcentral's name for it is "retained intron". Lineage: Eukaryota; Metazoa; Chordata; Mammalia; Primates; Hominidae. The record is from RNAcentral.